Drosophila willistoni is the source of this 308-nucleotide long non-coding RNA. RefSeq lists it as uncharacterized. The record is from RefSeq and is a predicted model, not a curated record. The transcript has 2 exons. Lineage: Eukaryota; Metazoa; Arthropoda; Insecta; Diptera; Drosophilidae.
AUGCCGCCAGCCGCAACACAUUCUUCUAUACCAGACGCACCUGAAAACGGAGAAAAAACAAAGUUAAAUUUAACUACAAAUAUUGGAAAAACUAAAAGCCAACAAUACUCACCUAAAAACUCAACGCGGCCACCUGCAUCCCAUGGAGUCUAGCUGUUCCCGUCCUAACAGCUUUACUCUGUCGUCGGUGGAGGUCUCCAGUGAUGAUUCAGCAGCCAUGUUCCUGUAAAAUAAUAAUAAUUAAUUUAUAAUUUCCAAUAUUGGUUAAUCUUAUUGUCAAUUUUUAUACUUAUGUCACAUUUUUCUAA